This is a long non-coding RNA of Meriones unguiculatus (Mongolian gerbil), 4198 nucleotides long. RefSeq lists it as uncharacterized. Lineage: Eukaryota; Metazoa; Chordata; Mammalia; Rodentia; Muridae. The transcript is spliced from 4 exons. The record is from RefSeq and is a predicted model, not a curated record.
GGAGCCUACAUGGCCGAGGCGGGAGAGGGGCCCUGACAAACUGGAGCUCUUAGAGAAGAGGAAAGGACAGAGGGGUCCACAAGACCAUGAAGAUGGCACCGUGACCAGAACAGGCCUCAGCUCCCCAGCCUCACUAGGCUGGUGGAGAGGAAGAGGAAAGGUUCAGAAGAGAUGCCUGAGAGGUGCUUGGAGAGACAGGCCCCAGUGGAGGUGAGCCCACUGCAAGCAGGAGGGACCAAUGGCCUCCCCCAGCACCUCCAUUAAAGCUGGCCAGGCGAUCCCUAAUCCUCUCUCAGUCUGCAAUCACCUGUGGAUAAGGGUCGUUGGGUAGGAUUGCAACCAGCAACGAAUAGCAGCAAGGGCAGUGGAGACAGAGGGACGGACAGCAUGAGGAGAGCAUGGUAAAAGGGGGGCUGGGAAAGCUUGAGCUGUGGAUGAGGGCAAAAGCUUUGGUGGUUAAGGACUCCAUCUCCCAAGGCAGGAAGCGCUAGGACUGAUGUCGAUGAUGUUUUUGUCCAACUUGUGGAGGCUGGGUACACACACAUUGUAGAGAUAGGUGCCCAGGCCGUGGGACGCAGAUUGUAGUCCCUCACCAUCUUCCCAGAUGCCCACUUUUCUCAGUAGUGCCCACUCUUGAAGGGCAAAUCGACAGGGAAAGGUAGGGAAAGGAUCAAGAAUGGAAAGGAUAGAGAAGUUUCCCCGAAAGAAGGUCAGAGGUUAAGGGUCAGCAGCUGGUGGGUCUAACCUGAGACUCACACAGACCUCUUGGACAAUAGUGCAGAAGCUCUUCUAGUCAAGUAGAGAGAGGCCCCUUGGACACAGACAGACAGACAGACAGACACACACACACACUCACGCAAAACUGGUAAACCUCAUGAUCUGGAUACACCGUACCAUUGUCACUUUCCUGGCAGUCAUAUAAAAUGUCACCACUGGGAAAAUCCUAGUGAAGUGUCCACAGGAUCUGUCUCUCUGUGUGAUUUCUGACAACGGCAUAUGAAUUUGCAUUUCAAAGGGCCACGGUAUUAACGGGCUUGUAUAGCAUUCCUGAGGCCCUCAGUUCCAUUUGCAGUCACACACACACACACACACACACACAAACACACACUUCAAGAUCCAAACCUUGUUUUUGAGCGCAAAGGAAUUAGCCCUGGGAAGGGCUGAAAGCCAGGGUCAUUCAGAGAUGGGGAAAGUAUUCUUGAUUUGUUGGUUGAAUAAACGAACCAUCUUCAUUCUGGGAUACUAAAGUAAAAGUGUGUGUGUGUGUGUGUGUGUGUGUGUGUGUGCAGUGGUGCUUGAGAGCGUGAGCAUGCAUUCCCAGGAGCACAGUACAGAAGAAACAAUUUAAACGCUGAAUUAUGUCCAUAAAGAUUUAGAGCCUUAGGGAAUGACUUUUCAUGUAGUUUGCAUACAUUAAAGCUCACUCUGUGAUGAGCAGGUCCCUGGUUUUUGACAGAUGCAAGAAACGGUAUAUUUUCUACCCCAGGAAUAUACAAAGCAGUUCCAUCACCCUAAAUAUUCACGUGUGCACCCUCUUUGUCGUUAGCCACACCCUACCUACCAGUCCCUGGCACCCUCCAAUGAUGAAUUGAAUUCUACAACGCAAGUUGAAUUCUAAAAAGGUUAAAAAAAAAAAAAAAAAAAAGAAAGAAAGAAAAGUGGGAGAAGGCAUCAGGCACAGAACGCGAAGAACAAAGGAAUAGAUACUGUUCUGUUUUGUUCUAAGCUCACAGCCGGGACGAGGAGAAUGGCUCAGUGUGAAGGGGCAGAGACAGGUAGACCCUGGAGGCUCAAUGGCCAGCUAGCCAACUUACCUGAAUUUGGAUGGUCCAGACACAGUGAGAGAAUCCUGGCUUAAAAUACAAGGUGAAGAACUAUAGAGAAGCAGCCCCACGUCAACCUCUGACCUCUCCACCCGUGUGCAUGGGUAGGUACACCUGCAUGCCGCCCCCUCCACACGCACACACAAAGCCCAUCACCCAAAGCUGUUUAUCUAACACCAUGGAUCACCAUUACAGGCAAUGCAGCAAUGGUCUGCAAAUGUUGGCUCAUUGGCUAGUUGGUUGGUUGAAAUCACAUAACACCUUUAAACCUCGGUUUCCUCACCUAUGCAUGGGAGCAGCCAAACUUGGGGUGUGUUUGUUCCUUCAGCAAAGCCCUUCAGCAAAGCCUUCUUGAGUUCCUCCUAUGAAGCUGGUACCAUUUCAUUGACCAGGAAUGUAGCCAUGGACAAAACAGACAAAGAUGCCAGUCCCUGGGCUUGCUUAUAUUGGAGAAAACAGACAUUUGACAGACGGAGCAACCAAGAACGUGUAAGGACUGAAACGGAGAGAAAUACUGUGUAGAUGACUCAGCAAGGAACGGGGGUUACGAAUGUGGGGUGCAGGCCUUUAGUCCCAGCACUCAGGAGGCAGAGGCAGGCAGAUCUCCGUGAGUUCAAGGCCAGCCUGGUCUACAGAGUGAGUUCCAGGACAGCCAAGGCUACACAGAGAAACCCUGUCUCGAAAAACCAAAAAUGAACAAAUAAGAAGUAAACAAAUAAAUGAAAAGAUGGGGGGGGUUGGAGUGAAGGUGGCGAUGCCUGUAAUCCCAGUGCUUGAGGCAGGAAGGUUGGGAGUUUGAGAUUAGGCUUGGCUAUCCAGUGACAGCCUGUCUCAAAAAUAAAUGAAUAAACUAAUAUAAGAUAACUGGAGUCACCCCACAGGCGCUCUGGAGCUUGUCUUGUAAGGAUGAGGAAGGAAAGGACACAGAGGGCUGUGCAGGAUCAUCUCAGCUCAUGUAAGAUGUGCCUGGCAGAUACCAGGAAGAGCCAGAAGGCCAGCCAGGCUGGAGGGAAUGAACACAGAGUCAAGGUAAAAUAGAUCAUAUAGCUUGAAAAGGCCAGGUGGCCUAGCGUCUUGCAGGUCAUGGUGCUUUUAUUCUCAGCGAAAUGGGAAGGCAUCCCUGGGUUUUGAGGAGAAGAAUUACACGAUCUGACCUAUGUUAUGGUCAUAAUUUAAAUUAUAUUAAAUAUUAAAACGAAUAUUAACUAUUUAAAAGGCUUGGGCACAGAGCCUGGAACAUGGCUUGUAUCCUGCCUACUAUGUCCAUUCACGGGUAUACCUUGACUUGCUCCCAAGGGUCUAUGAGACUGGCACAAGCCCCUGCUGGUCGCUGGCGCCCUCUCCUGGACAAGGACGGACCAGCUGACAACUGGAAAGGUCAGGCUGCAGCCAGGUCAGUUACUCACGACAGCUGUCUCUAAGGUGUCUGUCCCUGGGCAUGGGCCCCGGCCGUGCCCUGUAGCCUGGCGCUGAGCUGGCUGUGUGUACUGCCAGAUUGCUCUGCCCGCUGAUCACAAGUCUAUGGUGUCAUGGAAAGAUAUCUGGGCUCCAGAAGCCCUGUCUUCCUUUGCGUUAGAUGGCUGUGUGACCUUGGCAGAUCACGACACCUCUCUGGGCCAAGGAACAUUUCAUCUAAGUUGUUUUGCUUGUUUGUUUUGACAGGCCAACCUGGAACUUGCUCUGUGGCACAGUCGGUUCUUAAACUCAUGAUGCUCCUCAGCCUCCUAAGUGCUAGGAACCAUUGUGCCUGGCUUCUCUGGGUCGUUAAUUUUUUAUUUUUUGAGAUUUUAUUUAAAUGUUAUUUUUGUUUAUGUGGAUGGAUGUCUGUACCAUGUGCAUGCAGCACCCCAUGGAGGCUCAAAGAAGGUAUUGUAUCUCCUGGGACUGGAGUUACAAAUGACUUUGAGCUUCCAUACACAUGCUGGGAAUUGAACCUGGGUCCUCUGGAAGAGCAGCCAGUGUUCUCAACUGCUGGACCAUCUUUCUAGGCCCAUUCUCCAAGUCUUAAUGACUUCCUAUGUGUAUGUGUAUGUGGUAGGGAAGGGGGGUGAGAUCUCAGUAAAUGUCCAUUGAAUUGGUGAAGAAGUGGGUGCUACCAGCCCUUCCUAGUGAAUAUUUAAUAUAGAGAAAAGUAAAUAAAUGUGCCCAGUGGGUUUUCAUUCAAGAAGUAUUUAAAUAUUUAAUGCGUACCAAGUACUCUUUGGGGUGCGAGGAAUACAGCAGUGAAUAAAACAGAUAAAAACUGUCCUUGGGCAGCUGGCAUUUUUAGGUACUGAACCAAAGGUCACUGGUGCAUUUGCAUAUGUGCCCCGGUGAGCUGUGUAGAGAGGCAGGAGGGAGAAAGGAGUGACCUCAGAGGGCAGGGCUGGAGUUCA